Molecule: ribosomal RNA, 484 nt
Filed under: uncultured bacterium
Lineage: Bacteria
Description: partial 16S ribosomal RNA
Rfam family: Bacterial small subunit ribosomal RNA
Source: RNAcentral
AUUGAACGCUGGCGGCAGGCCUAACACAUGCAAGUCGAGCGGAUGAAGGGAGCUUGCUCCUGGAUUCAGCGGCGGACGGGUGAGUAAUGCCUAGGAAUCUGCCUGGUAGUGGGGGAUAACGUCCGGAAACGGGCGCUAAUACCGCAUACGUCCUGAGGGAGAAAGUGGGGGAUCUUCGGACCUCACGCUAUCAGAUGAGCCUAGGUCGGAUUAGCUAGUUGGUGGGGUAAAGGCCUACCAAGGCGACGAUCCGUAACUGGUCUGAGAGGAUGAUCAGUCACACUGGAACUGAGACACGGUCCAGACUCCUACGGGAGGCAGCAGUGGGGAAUAUUGGACAAUGGGCGAGAGCCUGAUCCAGCCAUGCCGCGUGUGUGAAGAAGGUCUUCGGUUUGUAAAGCACUUUAAGUUGGGAGGAAGGGCAGUAAGUUAAUACCUUGCUGUUUUGACGUUACCAACAGAAUAAGCACCGGCUAACUUCGUG